This 253-nucleotide ribosomal RNA is filed under the name uncultured bacterium. RNAcentral describes it as "partial 16S ribosomal RNA". It matches the Rfam family "Bacterial small subunit ribosomal RNA", at positions 524 to 776 of the family's 1533-position model. The record is from RNAcentral.
GACGGAGGAUGCAAGCGUUAUCCGGAAUGAUUGGGCGUAAAGCGUCCGCAGGUGGCAGUUCAAGUCUGCUGUCAAAGACCGGGGCUUAACUUCGGAAAGGCAGUGGAAACUGAACAGCUAGAGUAUGGUAGGGGCAGAGGGAAUUCCUGGUGUAGCGGUGAAAUGCGUAGAUAUCAGGAAGAACACCAGUGGCGAAGGCGGCUCACUGGCCCGAUACUGACGCUGAGGUGCGAAAGCGUGGGGAGCAAACAGG